Molecule: ribosomal RNA, 550 nt
Filed under: uncultured bacterium
Lineage: Bacteria
Description: bacterial SSU rRNA
Rfam family: Bacterial small subunit ribosomal RNA
Source: RNAcentral
UGGGGAAUCUUCCGCAUUGGACGAAAGUCUGACGGAGCAACGCCGCGUGAGUGAUGACGGCCUUCGGGUUGUAAAGCUCUGUUAAUCGGGACGAAUGGUUCUUGUGCAAAUAGUGCGAGGAUUUGACGGUACCGGAAUAGAAAGCCACGGCUAACUACGUGCCAGCAGCCGCGGUAAUACGUAGGUGGCAAGCGUUGUCCGGAAUUAUUGGGCGUAAAGCGCGCGCAGGCGGAUUGGUCAGUCUGUCUUAAAAGUUCGGGGCUUAACCCCGUGAUGGGAUGGAAACUGCCAAUCUAGAGUAUCGGAGAGGAAAGUGGAAUUCCUAGUGUAGCGGUGAAAUGCGUAGAUAUUAGGAAGAACACCAGUGGCGAAGGCGACUUUCUGGACGAAAACUGACGCUGAGGCGCGAAAGCCAGGGGAGCGAACGGGAUUAGAUACCCCGGUAGUCCUGGCCGUANACGAUGGGUACUAGGUGUAGGAGGUAUCGACCCCUUCUGUGCCGGAGUUAACGCAAUAAGUACCCCGCCUGGGGAGUACGACCGCAAGGUUG